Molecule: ribosomal RNA, 1230 nt
Filed under: metagenome
Description: bacterial SSU rRNA
Rfam family: Bacterial small subunit ribosomal RNA
Source: RNAcentral
AGAUGGCGGGGAAAGUCGAAAGACGCUGAAAGAGGAGCCCGCGGCCGAUUAGCUAGUUGGUGAGGUAAAAGCUCACCAAGGCAGAGAUCGGUAGCCGGCCUGAGAGGGCACACGGCCACACUGGCACUGAAACACGGGCCAGACUCCUACGGGAGGCAGCAGUGGGGAAUCUUGCACAAUGGGGGAAACCCUGAUGCAGCGACGCCGCGUGAGCGAUGAAGCCCUUCGGGGUGUAAAGCUCUUUCGGCAGGGAAGAUAGUGACGGUACCUGCAGAAGCAGCUGCGGCUAACUACGUGCCAGCAGCCGCGGUAAUACGUAGGCAGCAAGCGUUGUUCGGAGUUACUGGGCGUAAAGGGUGUGUAGGCGGUUCUUUAAGUUUGGUGUGAAAUCUCCCGGCUUAACCGGGAGGGUGCGCCGAAUACUGAGGGACUAGAGUACGGGAGAGGAAAGUGGAAUUCCUGGUGUAGCGGUGAAAUGCGUAGAUAUCAGGAGGAACACCGGUGGUGUAGACGGCUUUCUGGACCGUAACUGACGCUGAGACACGAAAGCGUGGGUAGCAAACAGGAUUAGAUACCCUGGUAGUCCACGCCCUAAACGAUGCAUAUUUGGUGUGGGCAGUUCAUUCUGUCCGUGCCGGAGCUAACGCGUUAAAUAUGCCGCCUGGGGAGUACAGUCGCAAGGCUGAAACUCAAAGGAAUUGACGGGGCCCGCACAAGCGGUGGAGCAUGUGGUUCAAUUCGACGCAACGCGAAGAACCUUACCUGGGCUCGAACGGCUUCUCAACGCCGGUGGAAACACUGGUACCCCGCAAGGGGGUGGAGUCGAGGUGCUGCAUAGCUGUCGUCAGCUCGUGUCGUGAGAUGUUGGGUUAAGUCCCGCAACGAGCGCAACCCCUGUCCUGUGUUGCCAUCAUUCAGUUGGGAACUCGCAGGAGACCGCCAGCGAUAAGCUGGAGGAAGGUGGGGAUGACGUCAAGUCCUCAUGGCCUUUAUGUCCAGGGCUACACACGUGCUACAAUGGACGGUACAAAGCGCAGCAAACCCGCGAGGGGGAGCCAAUCGCAAAAAACCGCUCUCAGUUCGGAUUGCAGGCUGCAACUCGCCUGCAUGAAGCUGGAAUCGCUAGUAAUGGCAGAUCAGCACGCUGCCGUGAAUACGUUCCCGGGCCUUGUACACACCGCCCGUCACAUCACGAAAGUGGAUUGUACUAGAAGUCUGCAGGCUGACCCG